ACCGCGUGAGCGAAGAAGGCCUUCGGGUCGUAAAGCUCUGUUGUUAGGGAAGAACAAGUAUCGGAGUAACUGCCGGUACCUUGACGGUACCUAACCAGAAAGCCACGGCUAACUACGUGCCAGCAGCCGCGGUAAUACGUAGGUGGCAAGCGUUGUCCGGAAUUAUUGGGCGUAAAGCGCGCGCAGGCGGUCCUUUAAGUCUGAUGUGAAAGCCCACGGCUCAACCGUGGAGGGUCAUUGGAAACUGGGGGACUUGAGUGCAGAAGAGGAGAGUGGAAUUCCACGUGUAGCGGUGAAAUGCGUAGAGAUGUGGAGGAACACCAGUGGCGAAGGCGACUCUCUGGUCUGUAACUGACGCUGAGGCGCGGAAGCGUGGGGAGCAAACAGGAUUAGAUACCCUGGUAGUCCACGCCGUAAACGAUGAGUGCUAAGUGUUAGAGGGUUUCCGCCCUUUAGUGCUGCAGCUAACGCAUUAAGCACUCCGCCUGGGGAGUACGGCCGCAAGGCUG
RNAcentral lists this ribosomal RNA (509 nucleotides) under uncultured Bacillota bacterium. RNAcentral describes it as "bacterial SSU rRNA". It matches the Rfam family "Bacterial small subunit ribosomal RNA", at positions 396 to 896 of the family's 1533-position model. Lineage: Bacteria; Bacillati; Bacillota. The record is from RNAcentral.